RNAcentral lists this ribosomal RNA (497 nucleotides) under uncultured bacterium. Its description in RNAcentral is "partial 16S ribosomal RNA". It matches the Rfam family "Bacterial small subunit ribosomal RNA", at positions 28 to 507 of the family's 1533-position model. The record is from RNAcentral.
GAUGAACGCUGGCGGCGUGCCUAAUACAUGCAAGUCGAGCGAACAGACGAGGAUCUUGCUCCUCUUACGUUAGCGGCGGACGGGUGAGUAACACGUGGAUAACCUACCUAUAAGACUGGGAUAACUUCGGGAAACCUGAUCUAAUACCGGAUAAUAUAUUGAACCGCAUGGUUCAAUAGUGAAAGACGGUUUUGCUGUCACUUAUAGAUGGAUCCAGGUCGCAUUAGCUAGUUGGUAAGGUAACGGCUUACCAAGGCAACGAUGCGUAGCCGACCUGAGAGGGUGAUCAGCCACACUGGAACUGAGACACGGUCCAGACUCCUACGGGAGGCAGCAGUAGGGAAUCUUCCGCAAUGGGCGAAAGCCUGACGGAGCAACGCCGCGUGAGUGAUGAAGGUCUUCGGAUCGUAAAACUCUGUUAUUAGGGAAGAACAAAUGUGUAAGUAACUAUGCACGUCUUGACGGUACCUACACAGAAAGCCACGGCUAACUACGUG